This is a long non-coding RNA of Saccostrea cuccullata (small rock oyster), 288 nucleotides long. RefSeq lists it as uncharacterized. Lineage: Eukaryota; Metazoa; Mollusca; Bivalvia; Ostreida; Ostreidae. The transcript is spliced from 3 exons. The record is from RefSeq and is a predicted model, not a curated record.
GAUGCCCAGUGUUCCCUCUCCAGACCAUGCGAGGCAGACGUAGUGGAUCAUUUAAUACGAGCGGAUUCUAAAGGACAUGUCUGCAGUGUGACAAAAUCCAGGAUAUUUGUGCACAACAACAAAUAUCUGACUGUAAGACUAACCCACAUGCACCUAACGCAAUGCUGAUUAUCAUGCAAGCGAAAUCGACCAUUAAUAAGCUAAAGCAAAUACGAUCAAGGAAUGGAUAUGAAAAUGCGAGUGGUGCUAUUGGGAAAGAUGCCAGCCUGUUGACGUUUUAUUUAGGAC